GUAGGGAAUCUUCCACAAUGGACGCAAGUCUGAUGGAGCAACGCCGCGUGAGUGAAGAAGGUUUUCGGAUCGUAAAGCUCUGUUGUUGGUGAAGAAGGGUAGAGGCAGUAACUGGUCUUUAUUUGACGGUAAUCAACCAGAAAGUCACGGCUAACUACGUGCCAGCAGCCGCGGUAAUACGUAGGUGGCAAGCGUUGUCCGGAUUUAUUGGGCGUAAAGCGAGCGCAGGCGGAAUGAUAAGUCUGAUGUGAAAGCCCACGGCUCAACCGUGGAACUGCAUCGGAAACUGUCAUUCUUGAGUGCAGAAGAGGAGAGUGGAACUCCAUGUGUAGCGGUGGAAUGCGUAGAUAUAUGGAAGAACACCAGUGGCGAAGGCGGCUCUCUGGUCUGCAACUGACGCUGAGGCUCGAAAGCAUGGGUAGCGAACAGGAUUAGAAACCCCAGUAGUCC
Molecule: ribosomal RNA, 450 nt
Filed under: uncultured bacterium
Lineage: Bacteria
Description: partial 16S ribosomal RNA
Rfam family: Bacterial small subunit ribosomal RNA
Source: RNAcentral